Molecule: ribosomal RNA, 261 nt
Filed under: Klebsiella pneumoniae
Lineage: Bacteria; Pseudomonadati; Pseudomonadota; Gammaproteobacteria; Enterobacterales; Enterobacteriaceae
Description: partial 23S ribosomal RNA
Rfam family: Bacterial large subunit ribosomal RNA
Source: RNAcentral
AACUACGAAUACCGAAGAAUGUUAUCACGGGAGACACACGGCGGGUGCUAACGUCCGUCGUGAAGAGGGAAACAACCCAGACCGCCAGCUAAGGUCCCAAAGUCAUGGUUAAGUGGGAAACGAUGUGGGAAGGCACAGACAGCCAGGAUGUUGGCUUAGAAGCAGCCAUCAUUUAAAGAAAGCGUAAUAGCUCACUGGUCGAGUCGGCCUGCGCGGAAGAUGUAACGGGGCUAAACCAUGCACCGAAGCUGCGGCAGCGAC